UGCAGUCGAACGGAAAGGCCCACCACCUUGGUGGUGGGUACUCGAGUGGCGAACGGGUGAGUAACACGUGGGUGAUCUGCCCCGCACUGUGGGAUAAGCCUGGGAAACUGGGUCUAAUACCACAUACGACCAUGGCGUAGGGGUCAUGGUGGAAAGCCUUGUGCGGUGUGGGAUGAGCCCGCGGCCUAUCAGCUUGUUGGUGGGGUAAUGGCCUACCAAGGCGGCGACGGGUAGCCGGCCUGAGAGGGUGGACGGCCACAUUGGGACUGAAACACGGCCCAAACUCCUACGGGAGGCAGCAGUGGGGAAUAUUGCACAAUGGGCGCAAGCCUGAUGCAGCGACGCCGCGUGGGGGAUGGAAGGCCUUCGGGUUGUAAACUCCUUUCGCCCGGGACGAAGCCCACCUGGUGGGUGACGGUACCGUGGAGAAGAAGCACCGGCUAACUACGUGCCAGCAGCCGCGGUAAUACGUAGGGUGCAAGCGUUGUCCGGAUUUACUGGGCGUAAAGAGCUCGUAAGUGGUGUGUCGCGUCCUCUGUGAAAUUCCGGGGCUUAACUCCGGGCGUGCAGGCGAUACGGGCACGACUAGAGUGCUGUAGGGGUAACUGGAAUUCCUGGUGUAGCGGUGAAAUGCGCAGAUAUCAAGAGGAACACCGAUGGCGAAAGCAGGUUACUGGGCAGUUACUGACGCUGAGGAGCGAAAGCAUGGGGAGCGAACAGGAUUAGAUACCCUGGUAGUCCAUGCUGUAAACGUGGGCGCUAGUGUGGGCUGUGUGUUUGCAGUCUGUGCCGUAGCUAACGCAUUAAGCGCCCCGCCUGGGGAGUACGGCCGCAAGGCUAAAACUCAAAGGAAUUGACCGGGCCGCACAGCGGCGGAGCAUGUGGAUAAUUCGAUGCAACGCGAAGAACCUUACCUGGGUUUGACAUGCACCAAAUCGCGUAAGAUACGUCCUCCCUUGU
Molecule: ribosomal RNA, 960 nt
Filed under: Corynebacterium durum
Lineage: Bacteria; Bacillati; Actinomycetota; Actinomycetes; Mycobacteriales; Corynebacteriaceae
Description: bacterial SSU rRNA
Rfam family: Bacterial small subunit ribosomal RNA
Source: RNAcentral